Molecule: long non-coding RNA, 15352 nt
Organism: Rattus norvegicus (Norway rat)
Lineage: Eukaryota; Metazoa; Chordata; Mammalia; Rodentia; Muridae
Source: RefSeq, a predicted model, not a curated record
GUGAUAGGAGUCGCCUCCGGAAGCUAGUUUGCAAUUGUUUGUGUUUAAAAGAUAACGGGUGGGUUGGGGAUUUAGCUCAGCGGUAGAGCGCUUGCCUAGCAAGCUCAAGGCCCUGGGUUCGGUCCCCAGCUCCGAAAAAACAAAAAACAAAAAUAACGGGAAAUUCUAGGCAGCAUCGCCGGGUUCUAGGUACGCGCAGGCUCAGCCCUGUGUCAACUCGCGACAUUAAUGGCCAAAGGCUGCAAAGGAGCGAUUUGUUUGUUUUUUGUUUUUUUGUUUUUUUGCAGCCACUGAAAACCGGUCCAGUGACAAUGUGAGCUCUUGUGCCCCGCUAGCCAUCGGGCCUACCAUCUUCCAUUUCACAGCAAAUAAUUGUUAAAUUGUGUGUUGAACCCCCCAAGCGUCCUGGAACCAAGCAAUAAGAACUGGCUGCUAUAUACAUUGUAUGGUUGAGGAAAAAACACUGCAAACAAGCACUGCUUACCCAAGUUCUCACAACAUCUGGGUAACACAAGAAACACAGCUUUUAAAAGUUAUAACUUUUGCUUGUUGUUUUUUUUUUUUUUCCUUUUUCUUUUUUUCGGAGCUGGGGACCGAACCCAGGGCCUUACGCUUGCUAGGCAAGCGCUCUACCACUGAGCUAAAUCCCCAACCCCAAAAGUUAUAACUUUUAAGAGAAGUAGAAAUGUUAAUUACGGGAAAUGUAUUUGUUAAUGCUUAUUAAUGUUAAUUCUACCAAUAUACAUUUAAACAAGGAAGCUAGGCUUUCAUCAGUCCUCCUAGUUGUUUUGCAUUAACGCCUGCAUUGAACCUCUACUUAAUAGACUAGAUUUAACCAGGAGUACUAAAAACAAAUACUGUAUUUCUUUUUUUUUUUUUUUAAGAUUUAUUUUAUUUAUGUAAGUACACUGUAGCUGUCUUCAGACACACCAGAAGAGGGCAUCAGAUCCCAUUACAGAUGGUUGUGUACCACUAUGUGAUUGCUGGGAAUUGAACUCAGGACCUGUGGAAGAGCAGUCAGUGCUCUUAACUGCUGAGCCAUCUCUCCGAGAGCCCAAUACUGUAUUUCAUAUAGUUUAUUUUAGCGUUAGAUUUUCCAGUCACCUUAAAGUCAAAUUGAUGAGUAGUGUACAGAAGUGUAUUUUAAGCUACCCUUAAUUCUUUUUUUUCCUAAAAACAAUAUCCUUUUAUUGAGUAUUAGCUUUAAAAGAAGGGGAAAAGGCUGAACUGUCUGGGACAGAGGUAGGGUAGGAAACAAAGUGGCAUGUAUAUCUGUUAGAAUUAGGAAAUGAAUAAAACUCAGGAACUAGGAAAGAGGGCAAAUCAGAAAAUAAAGAAAUCCUGAUAUAGAUUAGAAGACCAACUAUUUUUAACUGCAAAAUUAAGUUUCCUGAUAACUGUUUAAACCAAAGGAUGUUCCUGCUUUCUCAUUUCAAGACAGGAAAGGCACAAGUAGGUUGGAUACAGUUUUUCUGCACUGUCAGAACUGCUAGGACAAUAGAUGUGUGCUAACAAUUGAUUUUCUCAAUAGCUAUAUAGAUCCACACCCAAUCACUGGUUCUGACCUUCAAAGGAUGCAGAAUCCAGCCAUUCGUCUGAGUCGCCACCUCUGCCCCAUUCAGGUUUCUAUGUUUCUUGAAUAAAUUAUUUCCAUCAGCACAAACAAGUCCUGCUUCAACUCUACUGUUGAAAGAGAAAUCUCUGUAAGUCCACUUAUCUAGAGGUUGAACAGAAUAAAAAAUUAAAUUGCUAAUAAGCAAAUACAUAAACCUCUCAGGGGUUGACACCGUAAUAGCACAGGUCCUUUGCAUGGGCUAAGCAAUACUUUGAAACAAAACAAGCGAACUAAUAAAUCUUUUUGGUUUAGGAAGCAAGUAACCAAAAGUAGACAGACACCUAUUACCCUCCAGGAAGUAGGAAGUGCAUCCUAUCUUAGGGUUUUAUUUCUGUGAAGAGACAGCAAGACCAAGGCAACUCUUAGAAAGGAAAACAUUUAAUUGGGCCUGGCUUACCGUUUCAGAGGUUCAGUCCAUUAUCAUCAUGGUGGAAAGGAGGGCAGCAUGCAGGCAGACAGUGCUGGAGGAGCUGAGAAUUGUAUAUCUUGGUCUGAAAACAGCCAGAAAGAGACUUCCACAUGCAGCCAGGAGGAGGUACUCACUCCACACUGGGUGGAGCCUGGGCAUAGAAAACCUCAAAACCCACCCCCACAGUGACAGGCUUCCUCCAACAAGGCCAUACCUACUCCAACAAGGCCUCACCUCCUAAGAGUGCCACUCCCUGUGGGCUAAGCCUUUAAACACAGAAGUUUAUGGGGGCCAAGCCUGUUCAAACCACCACAUGUUUUCAACCUCUGACCUGGAGCAGCCUGAGGAAACCCAUACGGGCAGUUACCUUGGAGCAUACAAAGGUGAGACAAGACAAGCAAUAGAACAGACAAAAGGGAAGUUGUGGCUUGAAUAAGAAUGGCCCCCAAAGGCUCAUGGAUUUAAAUGCUUAGUUAUCAGGGAGUGGCACUAUUUGAGAAGAAUUAGGAGGUGUGGCCUUGUUAGAGUAGAUGUGACCUAGCUGGAAGUAUAUCACUGAUGAUUGUUUUGAGGUUUUAAAAGCCCAUGCCAGGCCCAGUUCUCUCUCUUCUUGAGGCCUGCAAAUCGGAAUGUAGCUCUCAGCUACUGCUCUUGUGCCAUGAUGACAAUGGACUGGACCUCUGAAACUGUAAGCCAGCCUGCAGUUAAAUGCUUUCCUGUUUAAGAGGUCUUGGUGGGUGGAUUGCCUUAGUCUGUUGUGAUAAAUAUUUAAUAUUAAUUGGGGGUUUCGGUCCAGCCAUGGAUCAUUAUUCCCAUAAUUAUGACAGCCUUUAUAGUGCUGUAUUGGGUGGAUAUCUAGCCCCUAAGCAAUCAGUCUCUAUUUCCCUAUCAAUACUGAGUUAUAACUUGCUGUGUUCCAUCUGGGCUGCUUUUACUCCAGGCCCUGUGGCCAUAUGUUCAUGAUUCAUCUACCCCAUGGUGUUUUUCUCUCUCUUCUUACAUGGUCCUGCCUCAGAUCCCAAGCUCAGGAACCGAAACUCGUUCUACCUCUCUUCUGCCCAGCUAUAGGCUGUAGGUAUCUUUAUUCAACCAAUAGUUUUAAAUUAAGGAGCAAAGUUAUAUAGUAUCACUUGGUAUAUGUGAGGAACUCUCUGUCCCUGGAAACAACCAGACCUUGGGGGCCAGUAUUUAGCAUUGCAGUAGGUAGCAACAGAGCAAAUGUCAGCACGAGUCAUAGUGUCACUUCAUAGCCUGAGAACAAUAACGGAGACAGGGAGCAAAAUCUCUUUAAAAAAGGAAACAAUGUACUAGUAGCAGGAAAAUGCAGUUAGAUGUUACUUUAUGUAGAUAACCAGACCUUCACAUUUUCCCCCUCGAGUUUCUAUGGUAGCAUUGUUAUGAGAAGAAGAGGAGACCAUGUGGGAAAAAAGAGCCUCAGUAAUGACAAGAAGUGCAUGCAGAUCCAGCAGGAGGAACACCCAGCAAUGAAUAAACCGAUUCAAAUAAAAAUAAAGAUAGGACAUUUUUGCCACUUUAUUUUUUUCCAUAGCUACUUCAACAAAUUGCCACAAAUGUAGUGGUUUAAUAAAAAUAAAAAUGUUUAGUCUCUUUAAAUGUCUCCCUGUCACAAGUUUGAUGUGGCUUUCACGUCAGACUGCAUUCCUUUGGGAGAUCAAAGACAGAAUAUGUUUCUUACUGUGGGUUGUUGGCAGGAUUCAGUUCCUUGUGGUUAUUUUCUGGUGGUGUUAUCUACUGUGCCCAACUUCUAGGAGUUAGUGCAGAGAGAGGCCCCUUCCUCCAUCUUCAAAGCCAGUAACUGAACUGGUCUGUUUCUUGCUUAUCAUUCUAACUUUGCCUGCCUCUUCUGAGAUCUCUCUCUCUCUCUCCCUCCCUCCCUCCCUCCCUCCCUCCCUCCCUCUCUCUCUCUCUCUCUCUCUCUCUCUCUCUCUCUCUCUCUCUCUCUCUCUCUCCUGCCACUUCUGCUUCCACUCAGAUAUCUCAGAAAGAUCUUUCUGUAUUAAAGUCAACAGCCAGUGCUAUUAGUAACUUUUAUUCCAUUCAUCUAUGUAGUCUUAUAUGCAUCGAAAUUAGGGCAGUGGGUAAAGGUCAUAGCAAUGAAAUUUUGUUCACCUUAUUUAUGCUCACCAAACUUAGUGGUUUCAUAUUCACACAAACUGCAUAUGAAAAAUGGAGAGAUGCCUCAGUGGUUCAAGAGCACUAGCUGCUCUUCCAGAGGACCCAGGUUCAAUUUCCAGCAUGAACAUGACAACUCACAGCUGACUGCGACCCCAGUUCUAGAAGAUCCAACCCCCUAGAAAUAUGUGCAGGCAAGAUAUCAGUUAACAUAAAACAAAAGUAAAUGAAUCAUUUUUAUUUAAAAACAAAAAUGAAAUAUAGUCACCCAAUGCCAAGAUUCCAUGUUUUCCCAGAGCUCACAAGCACUAUACACAAGAACGAUGUAAUCAGUAUUUCAGAAGAACAUGGAACAUGAAUUAAUACAGCAAAACCUAAUAAUCCCCUGAGUAGUUCCGGCAUAUAUAUAUAUAUGCACAUACACACACACACACACACACACACACACACAUAUACACACAUAUAUUGACAUAUAUAUAUACACAUGCACACACACAUACACACACACACACAUAUAUAUAUAUAUAUGGAAGAGACAGGUCCUGUGGAUUCCAUCCUGAAACCCUGACACCCUCCCCAUAUUAUAUAUGUGGAAGAUGGUCUCUAUCUAUUCCAUUCCUGAUACCAUGGUGCCCUUUCCUAUUGAUUCUACAUUCCUUGAUACCUGGAUUCUCUUUUCAUAAGAAGAUAACUCUGGUCAUUGCUAAGUGAAUUGGUAAUAAGUACUAUAACAUUUAGUGAAACGUCCUUAAGUCUAAUAUGACCACAUUGACACUGUUUUUAAGUAACCUAGGGGAUGAUAGAGAGGUGGUCUCCUCUUCCUUAACCCCCGUUUCCUUGGCAAUGUACUCUUUCCUAUAGUUGAUGGUUGAUCUUGUUUUCUCAGGGUAAGGCCUUCCUUCACAGCUUUAUGCUUUUUGCCUAACUUGUCACCAAGAUACAAUUGUCCAUCUCCUCCUGAGUCAGACAACUGCUAUCAGGAUUCUCUUUCCCUCCCAUUUCUGAUACUACCUCUGUGUGGCAGACAUUGUCAACAAGCUCUACAAUCACCUAAGAGACAAAUGUAUGGGCAUCUGUGACUGGGUAUUCUAUAUUGGCUUAACUGAGGUGGGGUGAGAUCUCGAACUGAAUUAAGAAGAAAGAGAACAGAGCAUAACCGUUUGUCUCUCUAUGACCUGUGCUCUCAAUGUAGCCAGGUGCCACUGCCUUCUCUAUGAUGGGCUCUGCCUUGACACUGUGAGCCACAAACUCUGCUAGAGUUGAUUUUCUUAGAGAUUUUGUCCCAGAGAUGUGAAAAGUAACCAGUUCAAGCUCCAUACAGAAAAGCCCCAUUUUCCUGCUUGGUUUUUCCUUUUGGUUGUGCUCCAAUUUCCUACCUGUGUGAUUUUGCUUUAAAGUUUGCUUGAAAUUCUAGGCUGCUUUCAUUUGGAAAUUUAUUGUCUUUUACUCAUAGAUGUAAUUUUCAACAUUUGCCUACAAGAUUUUGUGUAUCUCAUAUGCUUGGAUUUAUGCGGGAGGAGUGUUUGUUUGCUCAAAAAGUUUUUUUGUUUGCUUGAUUGAUUGCUUAAUCAAUCAUAACAGUGUUUUUCUAUCCUGAAGUAGAUAUACCUGAGUAAAUAGCUUAAUAGUUAAGUAAUUAACAAGUAUAUAAAAUUAUAUAAAUUAUAAAAUUAUUAAUUUAUAAUGAUAUAAAAUGUGAUAGUGUUUCUGCAAACAUCUGGCCUUGGAUCACAGUGGAAACUGAAAUACUGUCUCACACAGGACUUUUCCAGUCUAGUUCCCCUUGGGGUCACCUGAGAAACCUCAGAGACUGUAGAUGUAGACAUUGGCACUUAUCAAAAUUUUGUCCUCCAGUUUGAAGUGAGAACCACAGAUCUGAGCCGAGAUCCUGCAUUUAUGUUCAGAAAAGCAAAGGCCCAGAGAGGUCAACACCAAGCAGGAAGUUUGCACUGCUCAGCUUCAGACCUACAAGGUUUUCACCACACCAGUCUUAAGUCCUACCUGAUCAAUCAGAAUCUGUCAUUCCUCACAUGACCCAGGUGAACAUGGAAGCUAUGGUCUGUUGCCAUUUACUUAGUCAGGCUUUUCUUGCCAGAAAAAUAAAACUGAGAUUUCUUUUCCAUUUUUUUUAAGUUUGCUAGUCUUGGAUCUCUUAAAUUAUGAAGGCAAUAGCUGUUGCUUAAGGGCUAGUGCACAAAUGCCUGUUUCUGCUCUAACUGGAGGUCUGCAUGGGGAAGAACGCAAGCUGAAUCGUUUUUAUCACCUUGUACAAAGCUGACCCACAGCAGAACGAUCUGGAGAGAGUGAGAGACUUUGGAACACUCAGUCCUAAAUGAGAUGUCUUCAUCAAACCCCACCCCUCAGCACUCUGGGAGCCGUGCAAAGGAGAAGGGGGAAACUGUAAGAACUGUAAGAGCCAGCGAAGGAAAACUCCAAGGAAAGAGCUGCUUCUGGACACAGCAGGGCUGAUGCACAUGCGAACUCACAGACUGUGACGGAAGGCACGACACGUUCACAGAUUCAAACCAGACUGGGUCCCAGUGCCGAGAGGGGAAGAGAGGCUACGACCUACCUCCCUAAGAGGUGGCUUUCAAUAUGCUUUAUUUGAAGAUAGAUAGAUAGAUAGAUAGAUAGAUAGAUAGAUAGAUAGAUAGAUAGAUAGAUCGAUCGAGAUAUGCUGGGGAAAUUUAUUUCCUGACCCUGAUGUUGUUUAAUUGUUCUGUUUGCAUCCUGUAUCUGUAUGGCUAUGUCUUAGUUUAGGGAAGUUUUUUUUUCCUAUAAUCUUGUUUAUGAUCUGGUCUAUGCCAUUGACCCGGGCUUCUUUUCUCUCACUUAUGCCUAAAAUUCAAAGGUCCCGGCUUUUAAUGGCGUCCAACAUUUCCUGAAGUCCCUUCUUUAUGUUUUUGCUUCACGGUUCUCACAUUCUUUGCUUAUUUCAUCUAGAUCCUCUGUCUUUGAGUCUCGAGUCUCGUCUGCUGGAUUCAUUCUCCUUGCAAGGCUUUCCCUUGCGUUUUCUAGUUGAGCUAUUGGAAUUUUCAAUUCUUUCUUCACUUCGGCUUGAGCUUUUCUCGUCAGCGUUUCCAUCUUCAUAUUGAAUUCUGUUUUCGAAUCACGGAUUGCCCAUGUCAUUUCUAUCAGCCUUGCUUCUGUUUCCUUGGGCAUCACUCAGCCCUUGGUUCUCCUUAGGUUCCCUAUCUUUGAGUUCAGUGAGCUGUUUCUAAGUGUCUUCCCUAAACUCCUUAAGUUAUUUGAUGAAGUGUAUGAUGUUUUUAUUUUUUUGCUUCUUGGGGUUUAUCUGGGUGGUUCUUAAGGGCAAACAUUUCUACAGGACAUGUGGAUCUGUGAGUGUGUGGUGCAGAGGUCCUGCCUACAUCUCUCGUAAUAUUUUUGUUUUUACAAUGACAUCUGGAGAUGUAUAUUAAUCAGUUAGGGUUUUACUGCUGUGAACAGUCACCAUGACUAAGGCAAGUUUUAUAAAGGACAACAUUUAAUUGGGGCUGGGUUACAGGUUCAGAGGUGCAAUCCAGUAUCAUCAAGGCAGGAAUAUGGAAGCAUCCAGGUAGGCGUGGUACAGAAAGAACUGAGAGUUCUACAUCUUCUGCUGAAGGCUGCCAGUAGAAGACUGGCUCCUAGUCAGCUAAGAUGAAGGUGUUAAAGUUCACACCCACACUGACACACAUAUUCCAACAAGGCUACACCUCCAAAUAGUGCCAGUCCCUGGGCCAAGCAUAUUCAAACCAUGACAACAUGUGAAAUUCUUUUAUUAGUUCUGUGUCUGAUAUGGACAGAGAAGAUUGGGGAGGAACACAGGAUAUAUGUGCUGGGUUGGGCCUAAAGGUUGGCUAUAGCUUAAGUGGAAUGAAGUCAACUGGAAGGAAACUGAGCUAAUGUGCAGGAUGGGUAUCCUGGUCUAAUCCUGGAGUUUGGGUAGUUCUGGGGUUCGGGGUGAAUGGAGGCAAUAAUCAGCCAGACUCACCUGGUUAGAUCCUUAGUGUGCAUGAUAUAACUGGGCAGAGGUUAAAUAGGAUAUAAGAGGGGUCUGUAGGUGAGAGCAAACAAAAUGUGUCCUGACUGGAGUCUGAACGUUAAGCCUGCACAAAACAGUGUUGACUAAACUAGGCUGGGAUGCGAGGUGUGGUACUUAGUUUAGGUCUGCAGGAUUAAGGAAGACGUAUGGAAGGAAGGAUUCACAGGGCUCAUUCCUAGUGAAGAAUGUGCAGUAUCUGACUGGGCAGAGAGCUUGGAAUAUGGCUGAGGAGGAUCCUCAAGGGUGGGAGCUGUACUUUACUCAAAAGUAUCCUAGUAGUAGAAUAGAUAGAAGCCUGACUCUAUUCAUCGUUUCCUCCAAAGCAAAGAGCCCUGUCAGGUCAAGAACUGUCACUGGCUGUUAUCAAGGAGCCGAAUGAGGCUAUAAUUCAGCCUAAGAAUUAAAUACGAGAGUAUAAACUAUCCUCAGGGAAUCCUAGAACCUCAGGGUUUUUCUGAGAUAACCAUCUACUGCCAAGGAGCUAAGGAAACCAAGAUCUAGACAUUUGAGGUUCCCAAUGAAGUAUCUGACAACAGACAUUUGGAACCAAGUCCCUUCUUCAUUAGCUGUAUCUACACAAAGGCACCAUGUAAAUUGUAGAGACAUCGCUCCUAGAUCCCUGCUGAGACAGGUUCCAGGCUACCAUUUAAAAAGAGACAUAAAAAUAAGGAAUUAAUAUGAAACUAUACUGGCCCUCUCUGAACGACAAUUGUAAUUAGGGUUUAUGUUGUAAGUUUAGGGAAACUGAAAGUGAAUAUCUUUUAUUUAGAAAAUUGAGGAGACUUGAAUAGGGCUAUAGAUUAUGUACAUUAUCGUGUCAGUUAAUAUUCCUAUUUUUAUAAUUGUGACCAUUAGAGAAUUUGCUUGCAUUUGGCAACUAAACACUGAAGUAAAGUAUUAUGUACAACUUACUGUUAAAUGACUUUUUGAACCGGGGUGGGCGUGGGGUGAGAUUGUUUUGUCUAUAAAGCACAGAAGGAAAGAAGGGAAAAAGGAAGGGAAAAGAAAACGAUAACAAGAUGAGUCAAAAGACUGGCCUGUUUAAAUGGGGUGUAAUUGUGAUGGUUUGUAUAUCCUUGGCCAUGGCAUCCUUGGGAGGUGUGGCCUUGUUGGAGUAGGUGUGUCGCUGUAGGUGUGGGAUUUAAUACCCUUGUUCUGGUUGCCUGGAAGGAGGUCUUCUCCUAGGGAUCUUCAGAUGAAGAUGCAGAACUCUCAGCUCCUCCCGCAUCAGGCCUGCCUGGACGCUGCCAUGCUCCUGCCUUGAUGAUAAUGGACUGAGCCUCUGUGAUGGUUUGCAUGUGCUUGGCCCAGGAAGUGACACUAUUAGAAGGUGUGGCCCUGUUGGGGGAAGUGUGUCACUGUCAGGGUGGGCUUGGAGACCCUCCUCCUAGCUGACUGAAGAUGCUCAGUCUGUUCCUGGCUUCCUUGGGGUAAAGAUGUAGAACUCAGCUCCUACUGUGCCACACCUGCCUGGACGCUGCCAUGCUCCCGCCUUGAUGAUAAUGGACUGAACCUCUGAACCUGUAAGCCAGCCCCAAUUAAAUGUUGUCCUUUAUAAAACUUGUAUUGGUCAUGGUGCCUGUUCACAGCAAUAAAACCCUAACUAAGACAAUCACUGAACCUGUAAGCCAGCCCCAAUUAAAUGUUGUCCUUAUAAGAGUUGCCUUGGUCUUGUGUCUGUUCACAGCAAAAAAACCCUAACACAGUAAUAAACUCUAUUAGUUAUUAAUAUGGCCCAGUCAGCCCCCAAUGAUCAAGGCAGAGUCCUAUGGCUUAUUUAAUCAGCUCUUACACAGUUACUGGGGGAUUAGCCCUAGUCUAUACUUCUGUUGGCUACACUGCAUACUUCCCAACUGUUCUCCCCAAGUACCUGCUGUUUGAAUCUCACAUAGCUUACUUCUGCCUCAGCAGUCUGUCUUGGGGAAUAUUUAUCUUGGGCAUGUGUUCUGGUCUGUCUUGUCUAGUGGAGACCUAUCUCUUUCUCUUCUUCCUCCUUCACUCUCCUUCCUCAUGGUCCCUACCUGUGCUGUCCGCAGCUCAGUAACUGAAAUUCCUCAUCUUCUAUUCUCCCCAGUAAUUGGUUGUAUCCACUUUAACCCAUAACUCCUUGGGGGAACAAGGCUUACAUAGCAUCACUUAUACAACCAGAUCUUGGGGGCCAGUGUUUAGCAUUUGAAUACACAGCAGCAACAGACCAACCCCCACAGAUUUGUGGUUAAAACUGUAGACUAAAGGAGGAAAAUAGUCUUUCUUUCUGUUCUUGGAAUAACUGAGUAACGGUAUCCUCUGUGGACAUAGAGACUGAUAUUUGAGGAAGAGAAGAUGUAGUAUCAACAAGAAUUCUAAUGUGUCCAUACUGUGUGGAGCACCAUGGUUGGGUCAAGCAUGGUGGUACCAACCUGUAAUUCCAGCACACAGCAAGCAGGGGCAAGAGGAAGAAGGGCAGUGUCGACUUCAGCUCAUUCAUAUAAAAAGCCAAGUUUAAAACUGAUGCUUCUGUUAAUAAACACCCUUUUGAUUUCUAAUCACGUGAGUUCAGAGCUGGAGAGAUAACUCAAUGGUUAAGAUCACUUGUCCUUGCAGAUGACACCCUCAUGGUGAUACAUAACCACCAAUAACUCCAAUCCCCGAGAAUCUCACACCAUCUUCUAAACUCCGUGGUGCACAUAUAGAUGUGCCACAACCAUAAACACAACUACAACAAAGCUCAUACACAUAAAAUAAAGCAAAAUCUAAAAAUAAAAAUACAAGUUCUGCUAAAUAGGCUAUGUCUAUCACCACCACUAGUCUGAGAGUUAGUAUGGUCUGAGUGUGAAUGCCCUCCAGUGGGGGAUAUCUGGGGAGGGGUGUAGAAGGUAUGGCCAUCAUUACCAGUAUACGGGGUGUGUGUGUGUGUGUGUGUGUGUGUGUGUGUGUGUGUGUGUGUGUGUCCCUGUGAGACCACGAUGCCUCUGUCGGUAAAGGGUGUGGAGAGAAACCACUCUAGAAAUGGUUUCAGGGAACAGCAUCUGCUUUAUUAUAUAUGAACAAGCACUUACACAGUGCAAACCUAUCAACUGAUUGAUUAGUGCAUUACCUCAGAUUGGACACAGAGCAUUCAUACUCCAGGGUCUCUAUGCCUAAGAAGCACAUUAAAGCAGACGUGGAGAGUGCAGACUUGUCUGCAAGCCAGCUACCAGCUGCUCUACCUCAGAACAGUGUUGUGCCUUCAGCAGCAUGGCGAGCGAGCGGUGCUUCUUAUUUAGAAGCACAGCGUGCCACAUACGCUGGUAAUGCUUGCAUUUUCUCCUACAUGGGCUGGCUGGAGUAAGUGUAUCACUGAAGGUGGGCUCCACUCGAAACAUUUCUAGUUCUCGUUCUCUCUCUCCUCUCUCUCUCUCGCUCGCUCGCUCUCUCUCUCUCUCUCCCUCCCUCCCUCCCUUCCCCCCCAUCUCUGCUUUGUGCUUUCCAAUCUGAGUUCUCAGACUGCUGCUCCAACCACACCGUGCUUGUCUACCAUUGACCCCGUUUUUCCCUCUGAAACUGAAAGUCUCCAUAAACUCUUUCUCCUAUACUUCUGGUCAUUGUAUUUUAUCACAGCAACAGAAAACUAAUACGCUUAGUACAGUUAGGAAACAUCGUAGAAGAGAGAUGAAAAGAUUUAAGAGGUGGAAGUUGGGAGGGGGGGUGCUCUACAACACUCUACUCAGACAUGAUACAGUCCCUGUAGUCAUGAACACAGCAGCUAUAGAUGCCUACACAGGAUUGGGCCUCUCACCUGUCCAUCAUGAAUAAAGGAGGUACACAUGAGUCCCCAUCCCUUUCCGACUGUUAGUUGUUUCCUGGAGGAGGGAUUAUAGUUUUCCUCAGUGAUGUACCCACUGAGGGAUUCUUGGGAAGAAAGAGUGCAGAGAAAAAGGAACAAGAAACCAGAGGGUAAUAGAGAUGAAUCAACCACAAUGCACUGUGUGUGUGUGUGUGUGUGUGUGUGUGUGUGUGUGUGUGUGUCACAAUGCGCUGUGUUUAUACAUACAUAUAUUUGUAUGAGGGAGAGAAAAACUGUGAGAGAUUAAAGAAAAAAUUAAAAACUUCAGUUCAACUAUACCCUCCAAAUGCCGGGUGUUUGUGUGGUUUUGGAAGGAGCAGGGGGUAGAGUCACAGCUGUUUCCUGUGUAGCGCUGGUGAGCGGUAGAUCAGUUCCUUUGAGAUUUUCAGAUGCCUUUGACUGUACAGUAGAGGUCCAGGGACUCUGAAGAGCAGAGAGGACCUUGGGAAUCCUUGGUAAACAUGCCUUUCAAGAGGAAGAGCACCCAUCGUAAAAGGAGCAAGGAACAAGCAAACAGUAGAAAGAUGGGUUGAGUCACAUUUGUUUGGAUUCCAAGGACUCAGGCUGAUUGGAUGCACAUGCUGAGGCAAGACCCAUGCAGAGGCAAGGCACAUGGAGGACCGUGAUGUUGGAGAGUAUAAAUAGGAUGGAGUGAUGGAGACAGAGCUUGGCUUGCUGGUACAGCUAGCUGUGCAACACUUGUGUGUCUCGCAUCUUCACUCAUCUUCACUUAAUCUGAGAGGCAUAGCCAAGAACUUCUCCUGGUGUCCCUCUGGGUCCCUCCUGCUGACUCCAGCCCAGGCUGAGGCCUAGCUGUCUCUGCUAGGUUCUGCCACUGCUGUUGCUAUCUCGACUCUACUGAACUGGACUGCUGGUGUACCUAUGAAAAGUGUAUCCGUGAAGUGUUGGCGAGUGGAUCCAGCUGCUGCUGGCUAACCUGUGAACUACACUGCUGAUUUCCAGACACCACAGAUGGGAGUUGCUCAAAAAAAAAACCUUUCUAAACAGGUCCACUUCCCCCAUAUCCUUUCUUUUCCACUACCUCUGGUGGGUGAUGGGCUACAAGGGAGGUUAAAGCAUUUUCAAAAAAGGUUUGUGUAUUAGUCAGGGUUCUCUAGAGUCACAGAACUUAUGGAUAGUCUCUAUAUAGUGUGAGAAGUUGUUAUGGUGACUUACAGUCUGUAGGCCAACUCCACAACAAUGGUCAGUUGUGAGUGGGAAGUCCAAGGACCUAGUAGUUGCUCAGUCCCACAAGGCUAGUAGAUUCUAACAAGUAGUGCUGGCAAGUAGAUGUGAGUGGUGAAGAAGAGCGAAUCUUCCUCCUUCCAAUGUCCUUAUGUAGAGCUCCAGCAGAAGGUGUGGCCCAGAUUAAAGGUGUAUGCCACCAAGCCUGGAUCUGGGACUUGUUUUGUCCCAGGUUGACCUUAAACUCAAAGAUCCCCUUGCCUUAGUCUCUUGGGAUUCAUAGCCACUUUGCCUCAAGAUCUCCAUGCCAAGAUCCAGGUCAAAAUCUUGUAUCUCCCAGCCUCAAGACCUGGACCCCAGGUGAGCCUUCCAGUUCUGGACUGUAGUUCAUUCAAGAUAUAGUCAAGUUGACAACCAUUACAGUUUGGAAAAAUUAAAAUUAUCCCUAGCCCUUGAAAAACCAUUUCUAUUCUCAAAACACAUGCAGUGGCCAGUAUCUAAUACCAAAGCAAGGCAAUAGUCAAAGACUAAAGAGACUCAUAUACUUCAAUACAUGUAAUUAGCCAAACCAAAAGUAUUCCAAGACAAUAAUACAUGGCACAGAAGAUGAUUGGUAUAUACAAUCCAGAAUAAUCUAUAACUCUCUGCCCCCAAACUAGAAAAUCCACUUUAGUUACAUGUGUCUAUUUGGCUUGUUAAAGUCUAUAAGAUUAAAGAAUAAUAUUUAGUGUAUUGUGAAUGCUAACCUUCUAACUAGAUAAGAUCUAGGUUUUAUGUUUUGGUUCCCAUGCUACAUUUCCACCUGAAAAGUAAGAUAAUCUCAGUAGUCUGAUACCCUCCUCUAAAUAACUUGUGAACUCUACCUCUCUCUAGCCCCAUUCCUGCUCAAGUCUUCUGAGGGUGCAACCCAACCACACAGAGCUGGGCCUUACGUGGGGUAUCCACUCUCUGCUCUUCACUGCUCUACAUGGCCAAGUGGGUAGACCUAGAGCUGGAAGGGUAAAUGGCUGGAGCUGGAAGUCGGUCACAAACUACAACACUGUUUCUUGUCACUUGUGCAAAAUUUGUUUUUGGCUUAGUCCUUCCCACUAGAGAAAGCUCAACCAUGGAUGCGUUAGUGACCACAGUUAUUUCAGAGGCUGGCCUCCACAAGUGAGAAAGCAGAGUUCCUGACCGCACUAAGUUCAUUCAUAGAAACCAGAUAGAACUAGAGUCAUUUAUUUGACAAUCUAGGUUGCGUCUUUUACAUUUUAACUCUGUUUCCUUUUGUUUUCUUCACAUUGACAAUUUCACACAUGUACACAACAAAAUAUGGUCAUAUGAACUCUCUUUACCCAUCCAAUUCCUCCCACACAUCAUGUGUUUCUCCCAACAUCGUGUAUUUUUUCUUAUAAUCCACUUUGUCCAGUUAACGUUGUCCUUACAUGCACGGGUGUGCAGCCAUCCCCUUGACUACGAGAACCCUAGCAGUUGUCAUAUCACUAAUUAAAAAUGAUCUUCCCUCCCCCUGCUACUACCCACUGCCAGUAACGUCUGCUCUUUAAUCAUUCACCAACACCAGCAGCAAAGUCUGCACUUUAAUCCAUGUAAAUCUCACAACUCAGGCAGCAAUUAGAGAGCUGCCCUUGGAUAAGUGAAGCAGCUCGGCAAGCAGAGAUGCAGGGUGUCUCCUGCAGCUUACCUGGAAGUUCAGUUGUUCAGAUGCUAAAGUCAAACAGGUAAACUCUCCCAGGAUGCCUUCAGGAGUCUCACACAAAUCUCAGUCACAGCUAGCAAUUCGAUGGAGAUGUCUCCAACUGGUGGGACCAGAGUACCUCAGAGACCAAGGAAGGAACUACUGCAAAUCUAAUUGAUUGCAUUCAUUGCGUGAACUCAAGCGCCUAGGCAGCUUCGUAUAUAAUAAACAGUGUGAACAUAGGCAGCUUCAUGUAUAAUAAACAGUGCUUGCUACGCUUCACCCAAAAGGGGCGCUCAACGAAAAUCCCUAUCUAGACAAAUACAAGAGAGCCAAGAACGUUCCCAUUCCAAGAGUUACAUCUUUGAACAACUUGUGAUGUCGUUUUUGUUCAUAAAAUAAAGUGUGUAGAAAGUCACACUGUUGGUACUUGGGGAGUAACUUCCCCAUGCAUUAUAAACUUUAAAAUAUAAAUUAAAAUUUAAAAUAUAAUUCACGCUUUA